Molecule: microRNA precursor, 70 nt
Organism: Panthera pardus (leopard)
Lineage: Eukaryota; Metazoa; Chordata; Mammalia; Carnivora; Felidae
Gene: MIR33B
Product: microRNA 33b
Source: Ensembl
GCGGGCGGCCCCGCGGUGCAUUGCUGUUGCAUUGCACGUGAGUGAGGCGGGUGCAGUGCCUCGGCAGUGC